This 305-nucleotide ribosomal RNA is filed under the name uncultured bacterium. RNAcentral describes it as "bacterial SSU rRNA". It matches the Rfam family "Bacterial small subunit ribosomal RNA", at positions 335 to 657 of the family's 1533-position model. The record is from RNAcentral.
UUUCCUACGGGAGGCAGCAGUGGGGGAUAUUGCACAAUGGGGGAAACCCUGAUGCAGCGACGCCGCGUGAGUGAAGAAGUAUUUCGGUACGUAAAGCUCUAUCAGCAGGGAAGAAUAAUGACGGUACCUGACUAAGAAGCCCCGGCUAACUACGUGCCAGCAGCCGCGGUAAUACGGAGGAUGCGAGCGUUAUCCGGAUUUAUUGGGUUUAAAGGGUGCGCAGGCGGAGGUGCAAGUCAGCGGUCAAAUUGCGGGGCUCAACCCCGUACUGCCGUUGAAACUGCAUCCCUUGAGUGCGCGAGAAG